GUGCCAGCAGCCGCGGUAAUACGUAGGUGGCAAGCGUUGUCCGGAAUCAUUGGGCGUAAAGAGCGCGUAGGUGGCUUGUCAGGUCUGAUGUGAAAUCCUGGGGCUCAACCCCAGGCGUGCAUCGGAAACCGGCUUGCUCGAGUCUGGGAGAGGAGAGUGGAAUUCCUGGUGUAGCGGUGAAAUGCGUAGAUAUCAGGAGGAACACCGGUAGCGAAGGCGGCUCUCUGGAACAGUACUGACACUGAGGCGCGAAAGCUAGGGGAGCAAACAGGAUUAGAUACCCUAGUAGUCC
Molecule: ribosomal RNA, 292 nt
Filed under: uncultured bacterium
Lineage: Bacteria
Description: partial 16S ribosomal RNA
Rfam family: Bacterial small subunit ribosomal RNA
Source: RNAcentral